Molecule: long non-coding RNA, 137 nt
Organism: Perognathus longimembris pacificus (Pacific pocket mouse)
Lineage: Eukaryota; Metazoa; Chordata; Mammalia; Rodentia; Heteromyidae
Exons: 3
Source: RefSeq, a predicted model, not a curated record
UCGUCUCCUCAAGACCACCAAAUCCAGGUGCAACUUCUAGACCCAACCAGACAACAAACUCCUUAUGAAAGGUCAGCUUCAGAGAACUUGAAACACAUGAAAAGCAACAUGCAUUUUCUUUUCUUUCUAACUUUAGU